This 515-nucleotide ribosomal RNA is filed under the name Cophyla occultans (island giant treefrog). Its description in RNAcentral is "partial 16S ribosomal RNA". It matches the Rfam family "Bacterial large subunit ribosomal RNA", at positions 1912 to 2597 of the family's 2925-position model. The record is from RNAcentral. Lineage: Eukaryota; Metazoa; Chordata; Amphibia; Anura; Microhylidae.
GACAACCCCCAGUUAAACGGCCGCGGUAAUUUAACCGUGCAAAGGUAGCACAAUCACUUGUUCUUUAAAUAAGGACUAGAAUGAACGGCUUCACGAGAGCUAUACUGUCUCCCCCCUCUAAUCAGUGAAACUGAUCCCCUCGUGAAGAAGCGAGGAUACCCCGAUAAGACGAGAAGACCCCAUGAAGCUUUAAACUUGUACCAACCCCCCUCUAAGUACACCAAUAAUAGAAAGAAAUGUCUACAAGUCUUUCGGCUGGGGCGACCCUGGAGGAAAACUCAACCUUCGCGAUGAACGGACCCACCCCCUAAUCAAAGAGCUACAACUCAAAGAAUCAAUAAACUGACAUAUUGACCCAAAUACUUGAUCAACGAACCAAGUUACACUGGGGAUAACAGCGCAAUCCAUUUCUAGAGCCCCCAUCGACAAAUGGGCUUACGACCUCGAUGUUGGAUCAGGGUAUCCCAGUGGUGCAGCCGCUACUAAAGGUUCGUUUGUUCAACGAUUAAAACCCU